Long non-coding RNA from Papaver somniferum (opium poppy), 1348 nucleotides. RefSeq lists it as uncharacterized. NCBI's taxonomy places the organism in Eukaryota, Viridiplantae, Streptophyta, Magnoliopsida, Ranunculales, Papaveraceae. The record is from RefSeq and is a predicted model, not a curated record. The transcript has 2 exons.
ACUUUCUCGUUCUUCUCUUUCCUUCUUCUUCUUCUUCUCCUCUGUUCGUCUUUUGUCGAGAAUUUGAGAAUCAAAGUUGAGGUUCUUGAGAUCGGAUCAAGAGUAGAAAGAUCAGGGAAGGGUUGCUGUUAGUGAUGAUUGUGUUGUGGUAGGUUCUGAUGUUAAAAGAAGUGACGAAUCAGAGAAGAGGGUUUUUCUGAGAAUUGAAUUAGGAUGCGAAUUGGUGAUGAUAUAGUGUUGUUGGAGGAAGAAUAAUAACUGGGUUGUGAUUCAAUUGAAGAUGUGUAGAUGUUUUUGAGGAUGAAUCAAGUAAGUUAGGGUUUCUGGAUUUGAAAUUAGAUUUGUAUAGAACUGAUGGUGAUGAUUUCGAGUUCAUAAUGGAUGACAAUCGAAUGGGUUGAUGUUGUAUUAAUGAUAAGAAGUUGUUCUGAAGACGAAUUGAUGAAUCAAAGAGCUGGGGUUUCUGUGAAUUCAUUGGAGUUCGAUUUAAGUGAUGAUUAGGAAGAAUUAUUGGAUGGGUCUGGUCGAUUUGAGGACUUGAAUUAAUGGUUUGAUCAGAAGUGAGGGUUUGAGGAUUAUUCGGGGUUUUCACAAUUGAUGUUUUUGCAUCUGAUCAGAAAAGAAAGGAGGAAACAACUUCAGUGAUGAUUUUAAUUGAAGACCCAGGGUUCAUGGAUUGAAUUUCAAGUGAAGAAGAUUCCUAAGAUGUGUAUGAGAGAACAUGAAAGAUUGGGACUGAUAGUGAUUCAUUUGAAUUGUAUAUACUGGUUUUAUGGUGUAGUGAAGUCUGGUGGUGUAGAUAUGUGGCAAGUUGGAAGAAUAGUUGAUAAUGAUGCUGCUAUAGCGGAGUUUCAAUGGUUGUGUUUUGAAAGAAGUUUGGAUGUUUGUCGUUGCAGCUGUGAAGAUUGUGAUUAUGAAGUUAUGGUAAUUGAGAUUGGUAAUAGUGACUGUUGGGGUGAAUUGCAGGGAGAUGGAAUUAGAUGAAUGAAUGUGAGGAAGAUGUUGUUGAAGUUAACUGUGGUGGUGCUGUAAGGUGCAAGAGUAUGUGUAGAUGAAUAGUGUUCUAUAUUAGUGUUUUUGUAUGGAGUUGCAGCUCAUGGAAUUGGUGGAGGAAUGUUAUCUGAGUAGCUGGUGGAGGUUUAAAUUCUGUCUUUUUAAAUUCUGUCUUGUUGUCGGAUUUAAGUUUUUCUUUUUCAAUUGAUAUGUCUGGUUCACAAUCUAGGGAUAAUCUCAUAUUGGUUGACACCAAUAUCUCAAAUCAGUUGGAAGAGAUAAGGGUAACCAACAUCAUAGAGUAUCAUGUGUAAUCUUUCUCCUAUCAAUCUAACAGGGGGUUAGUCGUGGGAGA